Molecule: long non-coding RNA, 503 nt
Organism: Ceratitis capitata (Mediterranean fruit fly)
Lineage: Eukaryota; Metazoa; Arthropoda; Insecta; Diptera; Tephritidae
Exons: 2
Source: RefSeq, a predicted model, not a curated record
UUUAUUUGUUUUUGUCUUUUUUUAUUUCUUGUUUGGGGGGCAAGGAGGAGGAGUUCAAAAAUAUAUAUGUAUGUGUUUAGGCGUUCACGUUCGUUUCAGUGACAGCAACAAGGCCUGCGAAUAUUCAUCUAGAAGAAAAAUACACGAGAAGAGGAAACACAAACAAGUUACAUGACGAUGCUUUUGGUUAGUAAUGCGUAUGUACGUGUAAGUAAAUUUUUUGAUCAUGAUGCUGAAUAUGGCACAGAUGACGCAGUCGAUGAUGCUGCUACCGUUUGGCAUAGACACAACCUUUUAUACGUGUACUACCCAUCUGUACAUAUCUGCAAACAUACAUAUCUGUACAUUCAUUAAACAUGUGGGCGACAAAGAGACGUCGAUUGACUGAGCAGAUGUAGCAAUUCAAUGAGAUUAAGUUACAAUACUAUAUACAUAAACCUAUGUAUGUACAUAUAUAUAUUGUAUAUGCUUGUUUAACAAUAAAUUUUCUAAGUUCAAAUAUA